GGUGUAGCUCAGUGGUAGAGUACCUGCUUAGCAUGCUUGAGGCCCUGGGUUUGAUCUCCAGCACC
Molecule: transfer RNA, 65 nt
Filed under: Ictidomys tridecemlineatus (thirteen-lined ground squirrel)
Lineage: Eukaryota; Metazoa; Chordata; Mammalia; Rodentia; Sciuridae
Also listed under: 1 other name
Description: Spermophilus tridecemlineatus (thirteen-lined ground squirrel) tRNA
Rfam family: tRNA
About the family: Transfer RNA (tRNA) molecules are approximately 80 nucleotides in length. Their secondary structure includes four short double-helical elements and three loops (D, anti-codon, and T loops).
Source: Rfam by way of RNAcentral